UACGUAGGGGGCAAGCGUUGUCCGGAUUCAUUGGGCGUAAAGAGCGUGUAGGCGGCCAGGUAGGUCGGUUGUGAAAACUGGAGGCUCAACCUUCAGAGGUCGACCGAAACCAUUUGGCUAGAGUCCGGGAGAGGAGAGUGGAAUUCCUGGUGUAGCGGUGAAAUGCGCAGAUAUCAGGAAGAACACCCGUGGCGAAAGCGGCUCUCUGGAACGGUACUGACGCUGAGACGCGAAAGCGUGGGGAGCGAACAGG
Molecule: ribosomal RNA, 253 nt
Filed under: uncultured bacterium
Lineage: Bacteria
Description: partial 16S ribosomal RNA
Rfam family: Bacterial small subunit ribosomal RNA
Source: RNAcentral